Molecule: ribosomal RNA, 639 nt
Filed under: Leptolyngbya sp. FB003
Lineage: Bacteria; Bacillati; Cyanobacteriota; Cyanophyceae; Leptolyngbyales; Leptolyngbyaceae
Description: bacterial SSU rRNA
Rfam family: Bacterial small subunit ribosomal RNA
Source: RNAcentral
GAGUAACGCGUAGAAUCUGCCUUCAGGAGGGGGAUAACGACUAGAAAUGGUCGCUAAUACCCCAUAUGCCUAUGGGUGAAAUGAGUUUUGCCUGAAGAUGAGCUCGCGUCAGAUUAGCUAGUUGGUGAGGUAACGGCUCACCAAGGCGACGAUCUGUAGCUGGUCUGAGAGGAUGAUCAGCCACACUGGGACUGAGACACGGCCCAGACUCCUACGGGAGGCAGCAGUGGGGAAUUUUCCGCAAUGGGCGAAAGCCUGACGGAGCAAGACCGCGUGAGGGAUGACGGCCUAAUGGUUGUAAACCUCUUUUAUUCGGGAAGAUAAUGACGGUACCGAAUGAAUCAGCCUCGGCUAACUCCGUGCCAGCAGCCGCGGUAAUACGGAGGAGGCAAGCGUUAUCCGGAAUUAUUGGGCGUAAAGCGUCCGUAGGUGGUUAUACAAGUCAGCUGUUAAAGAGUGGUGCUUAACACCAUAAAGGCGGUUGAAACUGUAGGACUAGAGUUUGGUAGGGGUUGCGGGAAUUCCCAGUGUAGCGGUGAAAUGCGUAGAUAUUGGGAAGAACACCGGUGGCGAAAGCGCGCGACUGGACCUGAACUGACACUGAGGGACGAAAGCUAGGGGAGCGAAAGGGAUUANAUA